RNAcentral lists this ribosomal RNA (254 nucleotides) under uncultured bacterium. RNAcentral's name for it is "partial 16S ribosomal RNA". It matches the Rfam family "Bacterial small subunit ribosomal RNA", at positions 524 to 776 of the family's 1533-position model. The record is from RNAcentral.
GACGUAGGGCGCGAGCGUUGUCCGGAUUUAUUGGGCGUAAAGAGCUCGUAGGCGGCUUGUCGCGUCGUCCGUGAAAACCUGCAGCUCAACUGCAGGCUUGCGGGCGAUACGGGCAGGCUAGAGUUCGGUAGGGGAGACUGGAAUUCCUGGUGUAGCGGUGAAAUGCGCAGAUAUCGGGAAGAACACCCGUGGCGAAGGCGGCUACUCUGGAACGCAACUGACGCUGAGACGCGAAAGCGUGGGGAGCAAACAGG